RNAcentral lists this transfer RNA (76 nucleotides) under Mesocricetus auratus (golden hamster). It matches the Rfam family "tRNA". From Rfam's summary of the family: Transfer RNA (tRNA) molecules are approximately 80 nucleotides in length. Their secondary structure includes four short double-helical elements and three loops (D, anti-codon, and T loops). Lineage: Eukaryota; Metazoa; Chordata; Mammalia; Rodentia; Cricetidae. The record is from Rfam by way of RNAcentral.
GGAGAUAUGGCUUAGUAGUUAAAAACCUAGUUAGUUGCUCUUCCAGAAGACCUGGGUUCAAUUCCCAAUAUCUUCA